GUCCCGGUGGUGUAGUGGAGUGCAUCGGACCCUGCGAAGGUCCAGGCCCUGGUUCGAGUCCAGGCCGGGACA
RNAcentral lists this transfer RNA (72 nucleotides) under Planctomycetota bacterium. RNAcentral's name for it is "Planctomycetes bacterium (freshwater metagenome) tRNA-Arg". It matches the Rfam family "tRNA". From Rfam's summary of the family: Transfer RNA (tRNA) molecules are approximately 80 nucleotides in length. Their secondary structure includes four short double-helical elements and three loops (D, anti-codon, and T loops). The record is from RNAcentral. Lineage: Bacteria; Pseudomonadati; Planctomycetota.